UACGUAGGGUGCGAGCGUUAAUCGGAAUUACUGGGCGUAAAGCGUGCGCAGGCGGUUAUAUAAGACAGAUGUGAAAUCCCCGGGCUCAACCUAGGAACUGCAUUUGAGACUGUAUGGCUAGAGUGCGGUAGAGGGGGGUAGAAUUCCGCGUGUAGCAGUGAAAUGCGUAGAUAUGUGGAGGAAUACCGAUGGCGAAGGCAGCCCCCUGGG
RNAcentral lists this ribosomal RNA (210 nucleotides) under uncultured bacterium. RNAcentral describes it as "partial 16S ribosomal RNA". It matches the Rfam family "Bacterial small subunit ribosomal RNA", at positions 524 to 733 of the family's 1533-position model. The record is from RNAcentral.